Molecule: ribosomal RNA, 229 nt
Filed under: uncultured bacterium
Lineage: Bacteria
Description: partial 16S ribosomal RNA
Rfam family: Bacterial small subunit ribosomal RNA
Source: RNAcentral
CGCGCAGGCGGUCUUGUCCGUCAGGUGUGAAAGCUCGGGGCUCAACCCCGGAAGUGCACUUGAAACAGCAAGACUUGAAUACGGGAGAGGAGAGAGGAAUUCCUGGUGUAGAGGUGAAAUUCGUAGAUAUCAGGAGGAACACCGAUGGCGAAGGCAUCUCUCUGGACCGAUAUUGACGCUGAGGCGCGAAGGCGUGGGUAGCGAACAGGAUUAGAUACCCUGGUAGUCC